GAUGAACGCUGGCGGCGUGCCUAAUACAUGCAAGUCGAGCGAACGGACGAGAAGCUUGCUUCUCUGAUGUUAGCGGCGGACGGGUGAGUAACACGUGGAUAACCUACCUAUAAGACUGGGAUAACUUCGGGAAACCGGAGCUAAUACCGGAUGAUAUUUUGAACCGCAUGGUUCAAAAGUGAAAGACGGUCUUGCUGUCACUUAUAGAUGGAUCCGCGCUGCAUUAGCUAGUUGGUAAGGUAACGGCUUACCAAGGCAACGAUGCAUAGCCGACCGGAGAGGGUGAUCGGCCACACUGGAACUGGGACACGGUCCAGACUCCUACGGGAGGCAGCGUUAGGGAAUCUUCCGCAAUGGGCGAAAUCCUGACGGAGCAACGCCGCGUGAGUGAUGAAGGUCUUCGGAUCUUAAAACUCUGUUAUUAGGGAAGAACAUAUGUGUAAGUAACUGUGCACAUCUUGACGGUACCUAAUCAGAAAGCCACGGCUAACUACGUG
RNAcentral lists this ribosomal RNA (497 nucleotides) under uncultured bacterium. RNAcentral describes it as "partial 16S ribosomal RNA". It matches the Rfam family "Bacterial small subunit ribosomal RNA", at positions 28 to 507 of the family's 1533-position model. The record is from RNAcentral.